CAGAAAACGCACCCUGUAGGUGAUGACAAAUAUCUGCCCAGGAAUGCUGACUGGAAUUUCACCUUAAUGGAGUAACACAGAGUUUAGAGAAACAAGGAUCACAGAAGAUGAACCAAAAUACAGAGAUCGAGGCUGUUCAUAUCAUGAAGAGGAGCUGUUGGCUAUGGGAGCAUUAAGGCAAACAUGACACCAUGGCAAAUGAAAGCCUCAGCUGACUACCUUAAUAUAACAAAGAUCGACUUCCCCUGAGCAGGAAGGAAUUCUGUCGGCACACGGCAUCUGCACUCAAACUGCAACUCUUCCCUUUGUCCUCCAGUCUGUCGUCCUGCUCUGAAGAUUUUGGAUUUACCAAGCCUCCAUAAUCAUGUGAGCCAAUUCCUCACAGUAUAUAUGCACUCUCCACAUAGAUGUAGGUAUCUGCAUCUAUGAUACAGAUGCAUCCUGUUUGUUGUAUUUCUCUGGGCAGCCCUGCCCAGUACAGGUAGGAAUAAUAUCAUAGGUUCUAUAAUCAGCAAUAUGGGCUCAGGGCGUGGCUCUGCCCUUUGCUGUGUAGGUUGGAAAAGCUACUUUAUCUUUCUAAACCUCGGCUUCCUUAUCUUUUAAAAUGGCUAUAACAAUCCUCCAGUCGUGACAGAUUGCAUGCUAUCUAAUCUAGUAUUUCUAUUUCUAGAAAUAAAUUUGUUCCUUCUAGUCAUAAAUUUGUUCUUUUUUACCUAAACUUUACUUUUCCUUUCAGACCUGUGGUGGUUUUAAAAAUAUGUUCACAAUUUUGUUAAUAGUCAUCCUUUCAAGUUAAAUUGCCCUUCCUUCAAUAUAGGCUAGACUUAGUGAAUUGCUUGUAAUGAAUAGAACAUGGCAAAUGUGAGAGUACAUCAUUUCUCAUUCUCUCUCUUUCAUCACUUGUUAUGAGGAAGCCAACUGCCUGGUCACAAGCAUCUCUAUGGAGAGUCCCCGAAGCAAGGAACUGAAGCCCCCUGCCUGCAGACGCAUGACUGAACCUGGAAGCAGAGUCUUCAAUCUUCCUGACUUCAGUUCCAGCCAACAACUUCACUGUAACCUCAUGAGAGAUCUGAACAAGAACAAUGCAGCUGAGAUACAAUUCUUGAGCCUCAGAAAUUAGAUUAAUGAAAACAAAUAUUUUGAAAGCUGUAAGAAGGAUCGUGAAGUGUUGGCAGAUGCUAAAGAUAAG
Artibeus jamaicensis (Jamaican fruit-eating bat) is the source of this 1189-nucleotide long non-coding RNA. RefSeq lists it as uncharacterized. The record is from RefSeq and is a predicted model, not a curated record. NCBI's taxonomy places the organism in Eukaryota, Metazoa, Chordata, Mammalia, Chiroptera, Phyllostomidae. The transcript has 4 exons.